This 497-nucleotide ribosomal RNA is filed under the name uncultured bacterium. Its description in RNAcentral is "partial 16S ribosomal RNA". It matches the Rfam family "Bacterial small subunit ribosomal RNA", at positions 28 to 507 of the family's 1533-position model. The record is from RNAcentral.
GAUGAACGCUGGCGGCGUGCCUAACACAUGCAAGUCGAGCGAACAGACGAUGAGCUUCCUCCUUCAACGAUAGGGGCAGUCGGUUGAAUAACCCGCGGAUACCCUACCUAGAAGACAGAAAGACCUUCGGAACACCGGAGACAAUACGCUCUUAAAUCAUGAACCGCGUGGUGUAAUAGUGAAAUACGGACUUGCUGUCAGUCAUAGAUGCAUCCGCGCCGGAUUGGGUGGUUGGUGAGGUAACGGCUUAGCAAGGCGACGACGCGUACACGACCUGUGCGGGUGAUCGGCCACCCUGGAACUGAGACACGGUCCAGACGCCUACGGGAGGCAGCAGUAGGGAAUCGUCCGCAAUGGGCGAAAGUCUGACAGAGCAACGGCACGCGAGUGAUGAAGGUGUUCGGAUCGUAAAACUCUGUUAUGAGGGAAGAACAGAUGUGGAAGUGACUAUGCACGUAUUGACGGUACCGAAUCAGAAAGCCACGGCUAACUACGUG